UGACUCUCUCUCUCUCUCUCUCUCUCUCUCUCUCUCCUUCUCUCUCCUCUCACCCACGGCCUCAGACUCUCUUGCUCUGCUUUUGAUUACCUUAAAUAAAAAUUUUAUUUUUUCUAAAAAUUAAUAAUCUACAAAUUACUAUCUCUACUAUUAUAAUCAUGGAAGGCACUAGGUCUCCUUCCGCGGACCGAGCUUGGAUUUUUAAUCUCUGAUUACCAAAACUAUAACACCCAGUCCAAAAUUUAUAGUUUUUCUAACUCCCAGCUUAUUUUCUCUAAUUCUAAAAUGAUCUAUAUACAUUUUUCCACUUAAUUUCCUUUCCCUCUUCUGCGUCUUCUUCAACCUCUCCAUCCCAAAUCUACGACCUCACUAGCACCCGCCUCUCCAUCCAUGGCUCCCUACCUCCACCACCCUCCCUGGGUUUCCAUCAGAGUCGCUGCUCAUGCGCUUCCCCAAUCAUUUUAGCCAUGGGUCGGACUAAGCAGCUCGCCAUUUUCGGAUAGUUCUUGGUUUCUGUUCGAUCUCCUCUUCGAUUGAUGCAUCAUCUUUCUGAAAAACGGUGAAAGAUUAGAGUGUGUCGGCUCUUUGAUCCAAUCAACCCCAUUGGAUAUUUAUUGUUGUUUGUUUUGAUAUAGUAACAAAUAUAGUACUGGUCAACCAAAUCUUC
This 667-nucleotide long non-coding RNA is filed under the name Phoenix dactylifera (date palm). RNAcentral's name for it is "long non-coding RNA (PDAC_LNC003695)". Lineage: Eukaryota; Viridiplantae; Streptophyta; Magnoliopsida; Arecales; Arecaceae. The record is from RNAcentral.